Myotis myotis is the source of this 745-nucleotide long non-coding RNA. RefSeq lists it as uncharacterized. The transcript has 2 exons. The record is from RefSeq and is a predicted model, not a curated record. Lineage: Eukaryota; Metazoa; Chordata; Mammalia; Chiroptera; Vespertilionidae.
CUGCUGGCUGUAGUUUAGCCUGAGGGGAGGCAAUCUUCCUCUAGCCCGCCCGCCCGGCAGCCUUGGCUUAGCAGGAAGAUGGUGUGACCCUUCCUUGAGGUGGCAGGGCAAGAGGAGGGGUCUCAGAGGAGGUUCUGGGGCAGACGGGGCAGGGCUGAGACAGAGGGAGGUGCGCCAAGCAGAUGCUUGUAGGUAAACAGCAAUUUCUCUGCUGGAGCUGGAGCUCUUGGGGCACGCCCAAGCUUCCAGAAUCAUUGUUAUUUUCUCUCUGAAAUGUUGUCUGUAAAUCAGGGGUGUUGGGCAUCAUGCCAAGGACCAGAUCUGGGUGAAAAUCUGCCUGAGCCACUUCCUUGGCUUUGGGACUUUGAACAAGAUGUUCAGCCUUUCCUUUCCCGGUGCCUUCGUCCUGAGCAGGGCAGAGGGGAGAGGCUGAGUGGUGCAGGGAAACCCCCUCACCUGCCCAGCCUGCCCGAAUGUCCCCAUCUGGCUCUUCGGGCAGCUGCCUGAUGCUCACUCUCUACCCACCAUCUGCGGAGAACAAGGUGGGUCUAUGAAGACACCUCCCUCCUCUACCUCUGCCUUUCUUCCAUUCGAUGCAGUAGGAAAUGGGAUUCUAAACUCCUCACCUCACACAGACCAUCGGAAGUCAUAACAAGCCUCAAAAUAAUCAUGAUGGUGAUGAUGAUAACGGCACCACUUACAUCUGUGUUGGACUUUAUGGCUAUAAAAUGCUUUUUACAACCUC